GGUUCGAACUGGAGCUCUGACAUUGUGUGUACCAGACAAGGGCAUGGCAGUGGCCUACUACAGAGCUCUUGUCUAACUACUGACCCUUUAGAAUCCCUCGGAAGCAGUUAAACCGUCACUUGCAUUCUAGAAUGUGAAAUAUAUAUUGUCAACUCCCCAAAACCAUAAAACUAACUUUAUGGACCCCACGUGACUUUUGAGAGCCAGUAAGGGGUAUCUGUCCGUGGCUUGGGCGAUUUUUACGAUCUAACUUCAAGAUAAAACCCUCAUCCGUUUGACAUGUAAAUGUCAUAGCUUCUUUUGUAUAGUUUGGCCAAAGGGGAAAGCAAAUUUUCAAAACGCAAUUUGGCCAGGCAGCGCCGGGCAGAUGGGGACUUUUGGCAGGACCUUUACUCGGCUCUAAAAAGUAGCGUAGGACCAGAAACAACGGUUGAGAACCCACCGGUCUCCUUAUAACUUUACAAACAACAAGGUAAAGCCAGCUGAAGUACUCUAACUUUUGUGGACAAAACUGCACGGCAGAAAAGUUGUCUACAAAUUGCAUGAGAAGCAACACACUGGAUACCAAUUCAUUGAACAUUACACAAUAUAUAUGGACUAUGACCGGAAAUCCAAGUGAAGAUGCGUCUGACUGUAGGGAGAAAAAGUUGUGAUUUGUUUAUACAGACCAGGGAGGAAACACUCGCCUGUCACUUUUUGUCAUAUUUCCCGGAACUACCUCAUAGUCCCCCGAGUUCCGCAUGACAUAUAUAUGCAUAUGUAAGUAUGUGCUCUUUUCAUGGUCUUGCAUUGUUCUGUAUAUUUGUUUAAGAUAUAAUAUAUUAAUACAUGUAUGUAUAUGAGUAUGUGUGUGAAACAAAGUCAAGUAGUAAUAGGCCUAUAUUUCUUUGUAAAUGUUAUAUUUUCUACUGUGGAUAAAAGUUUUUUUUUACGCGCAGCAUUUUGAUGGAAAUAAUUGUCUUACAAGUAUAUUUUUGCACGAAUAAACAUCUCGAUUGUUAAUAACUGCGUAUAAUGUCAAAAGGCCAAUUUUGUCGAUUGUAGAUUUUCAUAGGCCUAUCUGUAAUCUUGGUGAUAAUGUAGUAGGCCUUUCAUUAAAAUACAAGAAAAUUGUAAA
Oncorhynchus nerka (sockeye salmon) is the source of this 1117-nucleotide long non-coding RNA. RefSeq lists it as uncharacterized. The record is from RefSeq and is a predicted model, not a curated record. The transcript has 2 exons. NCBI's taxonomy places the organism in Eukaryota, Metazoa, Chordata, Actinopteri, Salmoniformes, Salmonidae.